RNAcentral lists this unclassified non-coding RNA (434 nucleotides) under Hevea brasiliensis (rubber tree). Lineage: Eukaryota; Viridiplantae; Streptophyta; Magnoliopsida; Malpighiales; Euphorbiaceae. The record is from RNAcentral.
GGAUGAGAAAGUAACAGAUGAUGCACAUCUAUCUGUUUUAAUCUAUCAUGGAGGUAGUAGGACUAAGAAACCGGCGGAACUGGCUAAGUAUGAUGUGGUCCUGACUACGUAUGCCAUUGUGACAAACGAAGUUCCUAAACAAGCUUUAGUUGAAGAGGAUGACGAUGACCAAAAAAAUGGAGAGAGAUUCGGAAUAUCUUCCGACUUCUCUUCAAGUAAGAAGCGGAAAAAACCAUCGCUUAACAAGAGAGGGAAAAAGGGCAGAACAGGAUUUGAUGCAGAUGACUUUGAUCCUAAUUGUGGUACUCUUGCGAAAGUCAGUUGGUUUAGGGUGAUUUUAGAUGAAGCCCAGACAAUCAAGAAUCAUAGAACACAAGUAGCUAGAGCAUGCUGUAGCCUUAGAGCAAAACGAAGGUGGUGCUUAUCUGGAACAC